GUUUAGCCCCGAUUGAAGUGGAAAUCCUUUUUAUCCGCCGCGGCGGAUAAAAAGAUUGAAACGUAAAGCGGGACUUUAU
RNAcentral lists this small RNA (79 nucleotides) under Flavobacterium araucananum. Its description in RNAcentral is "Flavo-1 RNA". It matches the Rfam family "Flavo-1 RNA". The record is from RNAcentral. Lineage: Bacteria; Pseudomonadati; Bacteroidota; Flavobacteriia; Flavobacteriales; Flavobacteriaceae.